CGUGUCGUGAGAUGUUGGGUUAAGUCCCGCAACGAGCGCAACCCCUAUCCCUAGUUGCUAAUUAAGCCGCAAGGUUUAAUGCACUCUAUGGAGACCGCCGCUGAUAAAGCGGAGGAAGGUGGGGAUGACGUCAAGUCAGUACGGCCCUUACGCCUGGGGCUACACACGUGCUACAAUGGCCGGUACAAAGGGCUGCUAAGCGCGAGGUGGAGCCAAUCCCAAAAGCCGGUCCCAGUUCGGACUGUAGGCUGCAAUUCGCCUGCAUGAAGCCGGAAUCGUUAGUAACCCUAUAUCAGCCACGACAGGGUGAAUACGUUCCCGGGUCUU
RNAcentral lists this ribosomal RNA (327 nucleotides) under uncultured bacterium. RNAcentral describes it as "bacterial SSU rRNA". It matches the Rfam family "Bacterial small subunit ribosomal RNA", at positions 1061 to 1382 of the family's 1533-position model. The record is from RNAcentral.